GAUCUUGGCUCACUGCACCGUCUGCCUCCUGCGUUCAAGUGAUUCUCGUGCCUCAGCCUCUCAAGUAGCUGGGAUUACAGGAGAGAGCCAGGAGCUGCCUGACAUACCUGGUGAGCCAACUGGCCAACAUGGAGCAUUCGUUUCACCAUAUUCUCCUGCUGGAGAUUAAAAGCAUCACCGACACCUUCUCCUCAAUCUUGGGCCCUCAGAGCAGAGACAUCUUCCGCAUGAGCAACAGCUUCACUGCCAUUGCUAAACUCCUUACCCGACAACUGGAAAAUACCAAGGCUGGAAGUGGCAGGAGAAAAAUCAGCACUGAAAUUGAAUUCCCUGAGAAACUGGAAGAAACCAAGCUCAUAGUAACUGAAAAUGAAGACCAUGAAAAACUCCAAGUUAAAAUCCAGGCUUUUGAAGACAAGAUAAAUGCAGAGAGCAAUACCCCUGGCUCUAUCAGAAGAUAUAGUCUGGGCCAAGUUUCUAAAGAAGAAAGAAAAAACAUUAGAUUUAACAGGUCAAAAAGUUUGGCUUUCCACACUAUGCUCACAAAGGGUGUGGGUUCAGAUGACGGCGAAGAUGAAAAC
RNAcentral lists this small RNA (581 nucleotides) under Pan troglodytes (chimpanzee). Its description in RNAcentral is "processed transcript". The record is from RNAcentral. Lineage: Eukaryota; Metazoa; Chordata; Mammalia; Primates; Hominidae.